Molecule: ribosomal RNA, 1318 nt
Filed under: Staphylococcus aureus
Lineage: Bacteria; Bacillati; Bacillota; Bacilli; Caryophanales; Staphylococcaceae
Description: bacterial SSU rRNA
Rfam family: Bacterial small subunit ribosomal RNA
Source: RNAcentral
CGCGCUGCAUUAGCUAGUUGGUAAGGUAACGGCUUACCAAGGCAACGAUGCAUAGCCGACCUGAGAGGGUGAUCGGCCACACUGGAACUGAGACACGGUCCAGACUCCUACGGGAGGCAGCAGUAGGGAAUCUUCCGCAAUGGGCGAAAGCCUGACGGAGCAACGCCGCGUGAGUGAUGAAGGUCUUCGGAUCGUAAAACUCUGUUAUUAGGGAAGAACAUAUGUGUAAGUAACUGUGCACAUCUUGACGGUACCUAAUCAGAAAGCCACGGCUAACUACGUGCCAGCAGCCGCGGUAAUACGUAGGUGGCAAGCGUUAUCCGGAAUUAUUGGGCGUAAAGCGCGCGUAGGCGGUUUUUUAAGUCUGAUGUGAAAGCCCACGGCUCAACCGUGGAGGGUCAUUGGAAACUGGAAAACUUGAGUGCAGAAGAGGAAAGUGGAAUUCCAUGUGUAGCGGUGAAAUGCGCAGAGAUAUGGAGGAACACCAGUGGCGAAGGCGACUUUCUGGUCUGUAACUGACGCUGAUGUGCGAAAGCGUGGGGAUCAAACAGGAUUAGAUACCCUGGUAGUCCACGCCGUAAACGAUGAGUGCUAAGUGUUAGGGGGUUUCCGCCCCUUAGUGCUGCAGCUAACGCAUUAAGCACUCCGCCUGGGGAGUACGACCGCAAGGUUGAAACUCAAAGGAAUUGACGGGGACCCGCACAAGCGGUGGAGCAUGUGGUUUAAUUCGAAGCAACGCGAAGAACCUUACCAAAUCUUGACAUCCUUUGACAACUCUAGAGAUAGAGCCUUCCCCUUCGGGGGACAAAGUGACAGGUGGUGCAUGGUUGUCGUCAGCUCGUGUCGUGAGAUGUUGGGUUAAGUCCCGCAACGAGCGCAACCCUUAAGCUUAGUUGCCAUCAUUAAGUUGGGCACUCUAAGUUGACUGCCGGUGACAAACCGGAGGAAGGUGGGGAUGACGUCAAAUCAUCAUGCCCCUUAUGAUUUGGGCUACACACGUGCUACAAUGGACAAUACAAAGGGCAGCGAAACCGCGAGGUCAAGCAAAUCCCAUAAAGUUGUUCUCAGUUCGGAUUGUAGUCUGCAACUCGACUACAUGAAGCUGGAAUCGCUAGUAAUCGUAGAUCAGCAUGCUACGGUGAAUACGUUCCCGGGUCUUGUACACACCGCCCGUCACACCACGAGAGUUUGUAACACCCGAAGCCGGUGGAGUAACCUUUUAGGAGCUAGCCGUCGAAGGUGGGACAAAUGAUUGGGGUGAAGUCGUAACAAGGUAGCCGUAUCGGAAGGUGCGGCUGGAUCACCUCCUUUCUAAGGA